RNAcentral lists this long non-coding RNA (236 nucleotides) under Capsicum annuum. RNAcentral's name for it is "long non-coding RNA (CANN_LNC016289)". The record is from RNAcentral. Lineage: Eukaryota; Viridiplantae; Streptophyta; Magnoliopsida; Solanales; Solanaceae.
AGGAUAGUGGGUGCUUAAAAAUAUUUUUUUAAAAAAUCACCUUAAUGAGGUUUGAACCCGGGACCUCCUUCCAAUGAAGCACCUUAAGAUCAAUCCAAAUGUCAAUGCACCCAACCAACUUUUUGUUAUAGUAGGUAUUUUUAUAUGUUUCAUACCUAUUUUAAUAUAUUUUCUAUAUAAUUAUACAUAUUCUGCGUCGAGUUUAGUGGGUGCCGGAGCACUCCAAAAUACAACUU